CGGCUGCUGGAGGGGUGCCUGCUGGGGCUCUGGAAGGCCCAGUCCCUGGGGCCCAGGGGUCGUUCGGGUCCUGACGCUGCAGGAGCAGCGGCGCGCAGAGGCCAGGAGACUCCGGUGCAUUCGGCGGAGUUCUGCGUGCGGCGAGGACCGUGGAGGCACCCGCGACCUCUCCUGCCCCUUUGGACCCAGGGCUAGGGUCGGAGUGGCACUAUAAGUGGGGCGACUGAGGCGGGGAGACUGAGGCGGGGUCGGGAAGACUGAGGCAGGGAGACUGAGGCGGGGAGAGGAUCCCCGGCGCGGGGAGGGUCGCGUGCGCGCCUUGGGACGUGGCAGUCCCCUAGGGCCUGCCCUUUUCUGCCGCGUCCUGGACUCACUCCCCCAGCCCGGCGCGUCUCCUUUCUCCUCCCCACUGGAUCGUCUUUCUCUCAACCCCCAGCUCCCGACCCCCGCGAGUUGGUCCCAGGGCCCGCGACAAGGCCUAGGCACCGGGAUUCCGGGCGACAUGGACCUUAGGGCCUCGAGCCUCCAAGCACCCAGGCCUUAGGAGGGCCGCGGGAAGGGGCGCAGCUGGGUCCCCGCCAGGGGUGCGGCGGAGGCGUCCGCUGGGAACCUGCCCCACGUGGGAAGCCUCGGAGUCCCGGAUCCGCUCAGCCCAAGCCAGGGGGGGUUCUCCUCCUCCCGGCCCAGUCUCUGCAGCCCGCGCCUCGCGUUUGCUUCUCCGGGCACCCGGAAGGAAGGCGCCCCCGCCAUGUCCCACAAGCUUCUGCCAAGUAUCCACCGGGGCCCUGUGCCCGCCCACGGCCUCAAGAGCUCUGCGCCUCGGAGCUGGCGCGUCCUUCUGGACCACCCGGGCUUGGCGAGGGCAUCGGCUUCGGGGAGGCCUCCGCGGAUCGCGCCGGGGCGGGGCGCGGGGCCCUGGAGGUCACGGCCGAGGGCGAGGCCGCGAGGGACCCGGUGUGCGCGCAGGAGUCGGGAAUUUUCCAUGAUUGAGGUGGAAGGAAAAGCAGCCGACUGCUACAUGCUGACUGAUGGCUCCAGGGUUGGCCCACCAUCACUUCUGCCACCAUUGUUGCCACACACACUGCCCAGGAGCCCACCUGCCCUGCCCACUGAUGGCACCUGA
This 1123-nucleotide long non-coding RNA is filed under the name Macaca mulatta (Rhesus monkey). RNAcentral describes it as "lncRNA (ENSMMUG00000061195.1)". The record is from RNAcentral. Lineage: Eukaryota; Metazoa; Chordata; Mammalia; Primates; Cercopithecidae.